Molecule: ribosomal RNA, 347 nt
Filed under: uncultured bacterium
Lineage: Bacteria
Description: partial 16S ribosomal RNA
Rfam family: Bacterial small subunit ribosomal RNA
Source: RNAcentral
CCUACGGGAGGCUGCAGUGAGGAAUAUUGGUCAAUGGCCGGAAGGCUGAACCAGCCAUGCCGCGUGAAGGCCAGGGACCUAUGGGCGGUAAACUUCUUUUGGGCGGGAGCAAGAAUGGUCACGUGUGGCCAGACGAGAGUACCGUAAGAAGAAGCAACGGCUAACUCCGAGCCAGCAGCCGCGGUAAGACGGGGGAUGCAAGCGUUAUCCCGAUUUAUUGGGGUUCAAGGGGGCGUAUGCUGUUAGGCAAGUCCGCGGUGAAAUGCCCCCGCUCAACGGGGUGAAGGGCCAUUGAUACUGCCUUGCUGGACUGCGGAUGCCGUGGGUGGAAUGUGUGUUGUAGCGGU